This 250-nucleotide ribosomal RNA is filed under the name uncultured bacterium. RNAcentral describes it as "partial 16S ribosomal RNA". It matches the Rfam family "Bacterial small subunit ribosomal RNA", at positions 524 to 772 of the family's 1533-position model. The record is from RNAcentral.
GACGAACCGUGCGAACGUUAUUCGGAAUCACUGGGCUUAAAGCGCGUGUAGGCGGAUGGGUGCGUCGGCCGUUGAAAGCCCCCGGCUCAACCGGGGAACGGGCGCCGAAACGACCUGUCUGGAGGGACGUAGGGGGACCUGGAACUUCCGGUGGAGCGGUGAAAUGCGUUGAGAUCGGAAGGAACGCCCGUGGCGAAAGCGAGGUCCUGGACGUUUUCUGACGCUGAGACGCGAAAGCUAGGGGAGCAAA